RNAcentral lists this ribosomal RNA (276 nucleotides) under uncultured soil bacterium. RNAcentral's name for it is "partial 16S ribosomal RNA". It matches the Rfam family "Bacterial small subunit ribosomal RNA", at positions 26 to 307 of the family's 1533-position model. The record is from RNAcentral.
AGAUUGAACGCUGGCGGCAGGCCUAACACAUGCAAGUCGAGCGCGAAAGUUCCUUCGGGAAUGAGUAGAGCGGCGGACGGUGAGUAACGCGUAGGAAUUUGCCCAGUAGUGGGGGACAACUCGGGGAAACUCGAGCUAAUACCGCAUACGCCCCAAGGGGGAAAGCAGGGGAUCUUCGGACCUUGCGCUAUUGGAUAAGCCUGCGUCGGAUUAGCUAGUUGGUGGGGUAAGGCCUACCAAGGCAACGAUCUGUAGCUGGUCUGAGAGGAUGGAUCG